RNAcentral lists this ribosomal RNA (2902 nucleotides) under Escherichia coli. RNAcentral's name for it is "bacterial LSU rRNA". It matches the Rfam family "Bacterial large subunit ribosomal RNA". Lineage: Bacteria; Pseudomonadati; Pseudomonadota; Gammaproteobacteria; Enterobacterales; Enterobacteriaceae. The record is from RNAcentral.
UUAAGCGACUAAGCGUACACGGUGGAUGCCCUGGCAGUCAGAGGCGAUGAAGGACGUGCUAAUCUGCGAUAAGCGUCGGUAAGGUGAUAUGAACCGUUAUAACCGGCGAUUUCCGAAUGGGGAAACCCAGUGUGUUUCGACACACUAUCAUUAACUGAAUCCAUAGGUUAAUGAGGCGAACCGGGGGAACUGAAACAUCUAAGUACCCCGAGGAAAAGAAAUCAACCGAGAUUCCCCCAGUAGCGGCGAGCGAACGGGGAGGAGCCCAGAGCCUGAAUCAGUGUGUGUGUUAGUGGAAGCGUCUGGAAAGGCGCGCGAUACAGGGUGACAGCCCCGUACACAAAAAUGCACAUACUGUGAGCUCGAUGAGUAGGGCGGGACACGUGGUAUCCUGUCUGAAUAUGGGGGGACCAUCCUCCAAGGCUAAAUACUCCUGACUGACCGAUAGUGAACCAGUACCGUGAGGGAAAGGCGAAAAGAACCCCGGCGAGGGGAGUGAAAAAGAACCUGAAACCGUGUACGUACAAGCAGUGGGAGCACGCUUAGGCGUGUGACUGCGUACCUUUUGUAUAAUGGGUCAGCGACUUAUAUUCUGUAGCAAGGUUAACCGAAUAGGGGAGCCGAAGGGAAACCGAGUCUUAACUGGGCGUUAAGUUGCAGGGUAUAGACCCGAAACCCGGUGAUCUAGCCAUGGGCAGGUUGAAGGUUGGGUAACACUAACUGGAGGACCGAACCGACUAAUGUUGAAAAAUUAGCGGAUGACUUGUGGCUGGGGGUGAAAGGCCAAUCAAACCGGGAGAUAGCUGGUUCUCCCCGAAAGCUAUUUAGGUAGCGCCUCGUGAAUUCAUCUCCGGGGGUAGAGCACUGUUUCGGCAAGGGGGUCAUCCCGACUUACCAACCCGAUGCAAACUGCGAAUACCGGAGAAUGUUAUCACGGGAGACACACGGCGGGUGCUAACGUCCGUCGUGAAGAGGGAAACAACCCAGACCGCCAGCUAAGGUCCCAAAGUCAUGGUUAAGUGGGAAACGAUGUGGGAAGGCCCAGACAGCCAGGAUGUUGGCUUAGAAGCAGCCAUCAUUUAAAGAAAGCGUAAUAGCUCACUGGUCGAGUCGGCCUGCGCGGAAGAUGUAACGGGGCUAAACCAUGCACCGAAGCUGCGGCAGCGACGCUUAUGCGUUGUUGGGUAGGGGAGCGUUCUGUAAGCCUGCGAAGGUGUACUGUGAGGCAUGCUGGAGGUAUCAGAAGUGCGAAUGCUGACAUAAGUAACGAUAAAGCGGGUGAAAAGCCCGCUCGCCGGAAGACCAAGGGUUCCUGUCCAACGUUAAUCGGGGCAGGGUGAGUCGACCCCUAAGGCGAGGCCGAAAGGCGUAGUCGAUGGGAAACAGGUUAAUAUUCCUGUACUUGGUGUUACUGCGAAGGGGGGACGGAGAAGGCUAUGUUGGCCGGGCGACGGUUGUCCCGGUUUAAGCGUGUAGGCUGGUUUUCCAGGCAAAUCCGGAAAAUCAAGGCUGAGGCGUGAUGACGAGGCACUACGGUGCUGAAGCAACAAAUGCCCUGCUUCCAGGAAAAGCCUCUAAGCAUCAGGUAACAUCAAAUCGUACCCCAAACCGACACAGGUGGUCAGGUAGAGAAUACCAAGGCGCUUGAGAGAACUCGGGUGAAGGAACUAGGCAAAAUGGUGCCGUAACUUCGGGAGAAGGCACGCUGAUAUGUAGGUGAAGUCCCUCGCGGAUGGAGCUGAAAUCAGUCGAAGAUACCAGCUGGCUGCAACUGUUUAUUAAAAACACAGCACUGUGCAAACACGAAAGUGGACGUAUACGGUGUGACGCCUGCCCGGUGCCGGAAGGUUAAUUGAUGGGGUUAGCGCAAGCGAAGCUCUUGAUCGAAGCCCCGGUAAACGGCGGCCGUAACUAUAACGGUCCUAAGGUAGCGAAAUUCCUUGUCGGGUAAGUUCCGACCUGCACGAAUGGCGUAAUGAUGGCCAGGCUGUCUCCACCCGAGACUCAGUGAAAUUGAACUCGCUGUGAAGAUGCAGUGUACCCGCGGCAAGACGGAAAGACCCCGUGAACCUUUACUAUAGCUUGACACUGAACAUUGAGCCUUGAUGUGUAGGAUAGGUGGGAGGCUUUGAAGUGUGGACGCCAGUCUGCAUGGAGCCGACCUUGAAAUACCACCCUUUAAUGUUUGAUGUUCUAACGUUGACCCGUAAUCCGGGUUGCGGACAGUGUCUGGUGGGUAGUUUGACUGGGGCGGUCUCCUCCUAAAGAGUAACGGAGGAGCACGAAGGUUGGCUAAUCCUGGUCGGACAUCAGGAGGUUAGUGCAAUGGCAUAAGCCAGCUUGACUGCGAGCGUGACGGCGCGAGCAGGUGCGAAAGCAGGUCAUAGUGAUCCGGUGGUUCUGAAUGGAAGGGCCAUCGCUCAACGGAUAAAAGGUACUCCGGGGAUAACAGGCUGAUACCGCCCAAGAGUUCAUAUCGACGGCGGUGUUUGGCACCUCGAUGUCGGCUCAUCACAUCCUGGGGCUGAAGUAGGUCCCAAGGGUAUGGCUGUUCGCCAUUUAAAGUGGUACGCGAGCUGGGUUUAGAACGUCGUGAGACAGUUCGGUCCCUAUCUGCCGUGGGCGCUGGAGAACUGAGGGGGGCUGCUCCUAGUACGAGAGGACCGGAGUGGACGCAUCACUGGUGUUCGGGUUGUCAUGCCAAUGGCACUGCCCGGUAGCUAAAUGCGGAAGAGAUAAGUGCUGAAAGCAUCUAAGCACGAAACUUGCCCCGAGAUGAGUUCUCCCUGACUCCUUGAGAGUCCUGAAGGAACGUUGAAGACGACGACGUUGAUAGGCCGGGUGUGUAAGCGCAGCGAUGCGUUGAGCUAACCGGUACUAAUGAACCGUGAGGCUUAACCUU